CCAGACUGCAGCUGAAUCUUAAGGCAUGGGCUGUGGGGAGGCAUCAGGGGACUCCACGUAGGUAAUGAUGUAGACCAACGGUAACAUCCAGCUGCAGAGACCAGGCAGGACAGGAGUGGAGACAACAGUGCAGAUUCAGUCCAGUCCAACAGACUCUUCUGGAAGUGCAAGGCUAUUUGCUACAGGCUCGUACGACUAAAAAGCUGAACAAGACAGAGUCCUGCUCUCAGAGAACUUACCAUCUAAUUACAGUUGUGUGAAGUCAGCCUCACAAAGGCAUGAUCACACUGGGUUCUCAUGACAUCCCUGUGAAGUAGCCGUGUUCGACGGAAUCCACCCAUCCUGUAGAUGAGACUGUAGAGUUGAGGAAAGGCGCUGUCACCCAUGCGGGUGAAAAUACUACAUUAUUGCAACUCUCCAAGAGUGCGUGAAGAGAUCCACACGUGUGGUCACCUUCAUUCCAGGAUUAGUGACUGAAAAGAGCCGUUGACUGUCCUGCCCCAGACAUGCUACAACUCAUGAGACAGAUUCCUCACCGACUGAAGAAACACGGGAUGUUCUUUCUGGUGGCUGGAUGUUACCGGUUACUUGCAGCACGUAGCACUCCAGUCUUCAUUUUAUCACGUGACUCAUUCAGCACAACAUGCAUGUGAGAGACGCUAUGAAAUGUAAAUUGGCACCGAAGUUCAGUUGUCACGGUAAUUAAGAUUUGGCAGCUUGCCAGGGUGCCUCUGCCCAUUACUGGGAACCAGUCGGUCUCUGAAUGUGGUCUUGACUGGGGUCUCACUCUCAGAUAAACCCAAACGGGCUUGCCCUUCUCCACGUGUCCAGGGCAGUGUUCUUUCCAUCACAUCUGCCUUUUUCUGUCUCAAUUAAAUUCAGUAGUUAUUUAC
Molecule: long non-coding RNA, 893 nt
Organism: Suricata suricatta (meerkat)
Lineage: Eukaryota; Metazoa; Chordata; Mammalia; Carnivora; Herpestidae
Exons: 4
Source: RefSeq, a predicted model, not a curated record